AAAGCUCAUGGGCUCUGUGGGCAUCUGUGUCACAACCAACAAGCAUCGCGACACCAACUGUGGCCGCUGGAAAAGCAUGUUGCAUGGGAAGCUUCUUCUUGCCCAGGAGUCGACUUCUGCCAAGGGGCAGUCUGGCUGGCCAGGUGCUCUGCCCAGCUGAGGAGCAGGGAGCUGCGGCUGACAGCAGGACUUGGAGAAAGAUGGCGAGGUGGUGCCCAGCGCUUCCUGCAUCUGGCAUCUGGCAUGGCGAGGAGACAGCAUUCUCAUGCCGGUCAGGGAAGGAGAAUGAAGAUAAGGAGAGAGAGAAAUUUGAAGCUGUUUAUUUACCAUCAAAACCAUCCUUUUGAGGUUCACACGCGCUGGUGUUCUGGAGGCCUUCUGGGAGUCGGUGGAGUCCACCAUCAGCCCCGACUGCUUGGGAAUCCGAAUGUUACCACUGCUCUCAAUCCAAAGGCUGCCGUCACUACAGGGUAAGUCC
This is a long non-coding RNA of Manis pentadactyla (Chinese pangolin), 478 nucleotides long. RefSeq lists it as uncharacterized. Lineage: Eukaryota; Metazoa; Chordata; Mammalia; Pholidota; Manidae. The transcript is spliced from 5 exons. The record is from RefSeq and is a predicted model, not a curated record.